GGUGGGGUCAUUAAGUGCAAAAAUUCAAAUUUCUCAGAUGGUAAGGUUGUCGCAUAUCAAAUGAAAGAACAUAAAGCGUACAUUUCAAAUUUCAAAUUGACGUCCCCAAAAAAUUGGUUGAAUGGGGUCAUUGAGUGCAAAAAAUAAAUUUUCUUUUACGAUAGGGUUGUUGUAUAUUAAAUGAAAGGUCAUGAUGUGUACAUUUGAAAUAUAAAAUUCCCAACCUCCAAAAAUUGGUUGGAUGGGGUUAUUAAGUGCAAAAAUCAAACUUUUUAGAACAUGGCAAUGUCGCAUAUCAAAUGAAAGCUCAUCUACCCUGUGUUACAUAUAUCAUACUUCUGAUCUCAAAAAUGUAGGCGAAUGAGGUCAUUAAGUGUAAAAAGCGAAAAGUUUCAAAAGGUAUGCUUGUCGUAUAUCAAACGAAAGGUCGUACAAAGAACAUUACGAAAACAUCAAUUUUACAGGAAAGACCUUUCAAUUGUUUUACAAACAAUUGAGAUACUAGUUCUAUUAAUAUUUAUU
Molecule: long non-coding RNA, 522 nt
Filed under: Mytilus galloprovincialis (Mediterranean mussel)
Lineage: Eukaryota; Metazoa; Mollusca; Bivalvia; Mytilida; Mytilidae
Source: RNAcentral